RNAcentral lists this ribosomal RNA (467 nucleotides) under uncultured Anaerolineaceae bacterium. RNAcentral describes it as "bacterial SSU rRNA". It matches the Rfam family "Bacterial small subunit ribosomal RNA", at positions 903 to 1382 of the family's 1533-position model. Lineage: Bacteria; Bacillati; Chloroflexota; Anaerolineae; Anaerolineales; Anaerolineaceae. The record is from RNAcentral.
UACAAAGGAAUUGACGGGAGCCCGCACAAGCAGCGGAGCGUGUGGUUUAAUUCGAGGCAACGCGAAGAACUUACCUGGGUUUGACAUCGUGGUGGUAGGAAACUGAAAGGGGACCGACCCGCAAGGAGCCAUGACAGGUGCUGCAUGGCUGUCGUCAGCUCGUGCCGUGAGGUGUUCGGUUAAGUCCGCGAACGAGCGCAACCCCUGUUGCCAGUUACAAGUGUCUGGCGAGACUGCCGGUGACAAGCCGGAGGAAGGUGGGGAUGACGUCAAGUCAGCAUGGCCUUUAUAUCCAGGGCGACACACACGCACAAUGGACGGUACAGAGGGCAGCGAGACCGCGAGGUGGAGCGAAUCCCAGAAAGCCGUUCUCAGUUCGGAUUGCAGGCUGCAACUCGCCUGCAUGAAGUCGGAGUUGCUAGUAAUCGCGCGUCAGCCACAGUGCGGUGAAUACGUUCCCGGGCUUU